This is a long non-coding RNA of Cephus cinctus (wheat stem sawfly), 1002 nucleotides long. RefSeq lists it as uncharacterized. The transcript has 2 exons. NCBI's taxonomy places the organism in Eukaryota, Metazoa, Arthropoda, Insecta, Hymenoptera, Cephidae. The record is from RefSeq and is a predicted model, not a curated record.
GAAUUCGUUCAUACUGCCUAGUGUACUUGCGACGUUUAAUGCAACUCGGUAUAGCUUUGGUUUAGUUUACUUGUCGGACUUAAAGGUUCUGAAGGAGGGACAAUCUUGUUUUAAUUAAAAUUAACUUCUAAAGUUAGUUUUUCAGGCUCAUCAAAAUUGGAGAGCAACAGUUUGGGACUCCUUCCUUGUCAGACCUGCUGAAUAUGCUGUGAUCGAUCCAAAGUCUGUCGCAUUGUGAGUGAUUGUGAGCGAUAAUGAGCUGGAGCGCUGACCGCGUUCCGACAAGCCGGAGCGACAUGGAGUGGCGGAGCUGCGCAUGCGCCGCAGCUACUUUGUACUCGCACCGCGAACUAAUGUUGACUUUGAAUUCCGGCACAUAGCAUUUUCGUCCAGAAUGCUAGGUGUUAAACCUAAACAACACCUUAAUUGUCCUAUUAUAAAUUAUACUUACCUCUACACUCUACGCUUCUACUCUAUCUUGUCAGAUUUGAUAAUACGUAUAUAGGUUUUGAGGAAUAAUACCGAUUUCUAUUCCUUCUUCCUUCCUAUGUAGAUAAAACUAGCAAGAUACUUUCCUCUUUCUCUUUGUUGAAUUUGGAUUUGGGAAUCAUCUGCAAUGAACAGGAUUUUUGCAGGAUAAAGGAAUGUACAAGGAUACCCACUUACACUAUCCAUCAUCAAGAAUACUCUGCUGCCCGCAGUCUUUUCAUUCAGUAGACCCGUGGAGAGCAACAGUUAUUUCAAAUUUAAGAAGACGUUUCUGCAAAACUGGAGAAAGAACAGCCUGUAUAGUAUUAAAUUAAAUUAAGAUUGAAAAUUCAAAAAGAGUUCAUCUCGCAAUUUAAAUUCAUACACGUUGACAUUAGUCUGUCGUAAAUUAUUGUGAGGCGAAAAAUGGUUAGUCGCGUGUUAAGCAAAAAUAUUUUAAUUGACAAGUGAAAUAAUCCAAGCCUCUCUGCAGUAGUACUCAAUCGUUCAUGAGAAUAAAGUCAUGAUUAAGAA